Molecule: ribosomal RNA, 435 nt
Filed under: Bacillus cereus
Lineage: Bacteria; Bacillati; Bacillota; Bacilli; Caryophanales; Bacillaceae
Description: bacterial SSU rRNA
Rfam family: Bacterial small subunit ribosomal RNA
Source: RNAcentral
GGGGCCUACGCUGGCGGCGUGCCUAAUACAUGCAAGUCGAGCGAAUGGAUUAAGAGCUUGCUCUUAUGAAGUUAGCGGCGGACGGGUGAGUAACACGUGGGUAACCUGCCCAUAAGACUGGGAUAACUCCGGGAAACCGGGGCUAAUACCGGAUAACAUUUUGAACUGCAUGGUUCGAAAUUGAAAGGCGGCUUCGGCUGUCACUUAUGGAUGGACCCGCGUCGCAUUAGCUAGUUGGUGAGGUAACGGCUCACCAAGGCAACGAUGCGUAGCCGACCUGAGAGGGUGAUCGGCCACACUGGGACUGAGACACGGCCCAGACUCCUACGGGAGGCAGCAGUAGGGAAUCUUCCGCAAUGGACGAAAGUCUGACGGAGCAACGCCGCGUGAGUGAUGAAGGCUUUCGGGUCGUAAAACUCUGUUGUUAGGGAAGAA